Molecule: ribosomal RNA, 416 nt
Filed under: Everettia sp. LEWS_B
Lineage: Eukaryota; Metazoa; Mollusca; Gastropoda; Stylommatophora; Ariophantidae
Description: partial 16S ribosomal RNA
Source: RNAcentral
ACAAAACAUAGCUUUAUGAAAAUUAAUAUAAAGUUUUACCUGCUCAAUGAUUAAAUUAAAUGGCCGCAGUACUUUGACUGUGCUAAGGUAGCAUAAUAAAUUGACUUUUAAUUAAGGUCUGGAAUGAAAGGAUAUAUGAAUAUUUUCUGUCUUUAUAAAAUUAUUAUUAAUUUUCUUAAAAGGUGAAAAUUCCUUUGAAUAAAUUUAAAAGACGAGAAGACCUUAGGAGUUUAAAUAAUAUUUUGUUGGGGCAACAUUAUAGUAGAUAACCUAUAAUAUAAAUAACUAAUAAAACUAAGUGUUUUAAUUUUAAGUAAACUACCCUAGGGAUAACAGCAUAAUCUAUAUUAUAAAUAAGUUUGUGACCUCGAUGUUGGACUAGGGACUGUAAAUAAUAAGUUUAUUUAUUGAUUUGU